This 487-nucleotide long non-coding RNA is filed under the name Brassica napus (rape). RNAcentral describes it as "long non-coding RNA (BNAP_LNC010857)". The record is from RNAcentral. Lineage: Eukaryota; Viridiplantae; Streptophyta; Magnoliopsida; Brassicales; Brassicaceae.
UGAUAUUAUUAUUUGAUUGAAAGUAAAAUCAGAAGACGAGGCUGAUAGAAAAUAAACAAUCAGAAGACAAAUGUAAUUAUUUGAUGAUUUGUAUCUCCCCCUCAGUAAUCCUUGCCGGUGUAAAGAAAUAAGAAAAAAAAGUCGAUUUCAACCAAAAAAAAAAGGGCAAAUCUCUAAAAUAGCACCUUUCUAAGUUUAUAUCACAAAAAUAGCACUCAAAAACUAAAAUGAUCAAAAUAGCACAUUUUUAAGUUUAUCCUUUGAAAAUUUUAAUUUUUUUUAUUUUUCAAAAUUUGAAAUCUUAUCCCCAAAACCUCAUUUCUCAACUCUAAACCCUAAACCCUAAACUCUAAACCCUAAACCCUAAACCAUAAACCCUAAACUCUAAACCCUAAACCCUAAACCCUAAAAUCUAAACCCUAAACCCUAAACCCUAAACUCUAAACCCUAAAUCCUAAAUCCUAAACCCCACCCUUUAACUUUAAAC